RNAcentral lists this ribosomal RNA (379 nucleotides) under uncultured bacterium. RNAcentral's name for it is "bacterial SSU rRNA". It matches the Rfam family "Bacterial small subunit ribosomal RNA", at positions 28 to 404 of the family's 1533-position model. The record is from RNAcentral.
GAUGAACGCUGGCGGCGUGCUUAACACAUGCAAGUCGAACGGUGAAGUGAGGAGCUUGCUCCUUGCGGAUCAGUGGCGAACGGGUGAGUAACACGUGAGUAACCUGCCCUUGACUCUGGGAUAAGCACUGGAAACGGUGUCUAAUACCGGAUACGACCUCCGAAGGCAUCUUCUGGAAGUGGAAAGAAUUUCGGUCAAGGAUGGACUCGCGGCCUAUCAGCUAGNGGUGAGGUAACGGCCCACCAAGGCGACGACGGGUAGCCGGCCUGAGAGGGUGACCGGCCACACUGGGACUGAGACACGGCCCGGACUCCUACGGGAGGCAGCAGUGGGGAAUAUUGCACAAUGGGCGCAAGCCUGAUGCAGCAACGCCGCGUGA